UACAUCCUGCAAUGUACGCCUCGAUUUCUCGUUGUUUUGAACCAAUGAUGAUGUCUCGGGAGAUUCAUAUCUAAUUGUUGCUGACCGGCCCUAUCCAUUGGAUGUGGGGACUUCAAAUACAAUUGUGCGAUCACCCACCUGCUUAGCAGGUUCGAAGACAAUGUUAUCGGACGGCAUAUGCGGGACUUAU
Molecule: non-coding RNA, 190 nt
Filed under: Paenibacillus bovis
Lineage: Bacteria; Bacillati; Bacillota; Bacilli; Caryophanales; Paenibacillaceae
Description: 6S / SsrS RNA
Rfam family: 6S / SsrS RNA
About the family: E. coli 6S RNA was the first non coding RNA to be sequenced, but its function was unknown until recently.
Source: Rfam by way of RNAcentral